CCUUCGGGAGCCUAUACAGGUGUUGCAUGGCUGUCGUCAGCUCGUGUCGUGAGAUGUUCGGUUAAGUCCGCUAACGAGCGCAACCCUCGUCGUAUGUUAUAUGUGUCAUACGAGACUGCCGGUAAAAAGCCGGAGGAAGGUGAGGAUGAUGUCAAGUCAGCAUGACCUUUAUAUCCAGGGCUACACACACGCUACAAUGGUCUGUACAAUGGGUAGCCAAGCCGCGAGGCGGAGCCAAUCCUGAAAGCAGGCCUCAGUUCAGAUUGCAGUCUGCAACUCGACUGCAUGAAGUCGGAAUCGCUAGUAAAGGCGUAUCAGCAACGACGCCUUGAAUACGUUCCCGGGCCUU
RNAcentral lists this ribosomal RNA (349 nucleotides) under uncultured Anaerolineaceae bacterium. RNAcentral's name for it is "bacterial SSU rRNA". It matches the Rfam family "Bacterial small subunit ribosomal RNA", at positions 1014 to 1382 of the family's 1533-position model. The record is from RNAcentral. Lineage: Bacteria; Bacillati; Chloroflexota; Anaerolineae; Anaerolineales; Anaerolineaceae.